AUCAGGUUCAUGAAACAACACUGGCACUUUAGCUUAAACAAGAUCAUUUUUGUAACUUCUUGUAUAAAAACGAGUAAGCCUCGCAUGUAUUUUAGUAAUAUAUUUUCUGCUUCAUAUAGAGAGAAAUAUUAGGAGGAAGUUUUUCCAUUCAGAAGGUGGUGACACACUGGAACAGGCUGCUCAGGGAGGCUGUGGAUACCCCAUCCCUGGAGUCAUUCAAGACCAGGCUGGAUGUGGCCCUGGGCAGCCUGGUCUGGUGGUUGGUGACCCUACACAUAGCAUGGGAGUUGGAACUAGAUGAUCACUGUGUUCCUUUUCAACCCAGGACUUUUCUGAGGCCAUUAGAAAAGAAUAAACCUGUCCAGCAGGUCAAUCAUGUUUUUCUCUUCUAGGAUAUUUUCUGUUGUUACUAAUAUUAAGCAGUCGAGAGACACUGAUGGCCAUGGAAGAGACUAUAUUAAAAGAAAAAUGCAGCUUUACAGAACUUUGUUUUCAACCAACAUUAGCAUACAAAUAUUAAACAAGAAUUUCACUUCUCUACAUUCUUGUCACUUGUGAUGAAUACAUCCUUGCUCGGUAAGUGCUGG
Molecule: long non-coding RNA, 587 nt
Filed under: Coturnix japonica (Japanese quail)
Lineage: Eukaryota; Metazoa; Chordata; Aves; Galliformes; Phasianidae
Description: lncRNA (ENSCJPG00005003174.1)
Source: RNAcentral